ACGAACGCUGGCGGCGUGCUUAACACAUGCAAGUCGCACGGAAAGGCCCUGCUUUUGUGGGGUGCUCGAGUGGCGAACGGGUGAGUAACACGUGAGUAACCUGCCCUUGACUUUGGGAUAACUUCAGGAAACUGGGGCUAAUACCGGAUAGGAGCUCCUGCUGCAUGGUGGGGGUUGGAAAGUUUCGGCGGUUGGGGAUGGACUCGCGGCUUAUCAGCUUGUUGGUGGGGUAGUGGCUUACCAAGGCUUUGACGGGUAGCCGGCCUGAGAGGGUGACCGGCCACAUUGGGACCGAGAUACGGCCCAGACUCCUACGGGAGGCAGCAGUGGGGAAUAUUGCACAAUGGGCGGAAGCCUGAUGCAGCAACGCCGCGUGCGGGAUGACGGCCUUCGGGUUGUAAACCGCUUUCGCCUGUGACGAAGCGUGAGUGACGGUAAUGGGUAAAGAAGUACCGGCUAACUACGUG
RNAcentral lists this ribosomal RNA (467 nucleotides) under uncultured bacterium. Its description in RNAcentral is "partial 16S ribosomal RNA". It matches the Rfam family "Bacterial small subunit ribosomal RNA", at positions 29 to 507 of the family's 1533-position model. The record is from RNAcentral.